UGGGGAAUUUUGCACAAUGGGCGCAAGCCUGAUGCAGCGACGCCGCGUGAGGGAUGAAGGCCUUCGGGUUGUAAACCUUUUUCGCUCAUGGUCAAGCCGCAGCUUUGGGUUGUGGUGAGGGUAGUGGGUAAAGAAGCGCCGGCUAACUACGUGCCAGCAGCCGCGGUAAUACGUAGGGCGCGAGCGUUGUCCGGAAUUAUUGGGCGUAAAGGGCUUGUAGGCGGUUGGCCGCGUCUGCCGUGAAAUCCUCUGGCUUAACUGGGGGCGUGCGGUGGGUACGGGUUGACUUGAGUGCGGUAGGGGAGGCUGGAAUUCCUGGUGUAGCGGUGGAAUGCGCAGAUAUCAGGAGGAACACCGGUGGCGAAGGCGGGUCUCUGGGCCGUUACUGACGCUGAGGAGCGAAAGCGUGGGGAGCGAACAGG
RNAcentral lists this ribosomal RNA (422 nucleotides) under Verrucomicrobiota bacterium. RNAcentral describes it as "Verrucomicrobia bacterium partial 16S ribosomal RNA". It matches the Rfam family "Bacterial small subunit ribosomal RNA", at positions 355 to 776 of the family's 1533-position model. The record is from RNAcentral. Lineage: Bacteria; Pseudomonadati; Verrucomicrobiota.